AGUAAGACCCCUUGAAGAACACAAGGUUGAUAGGUCAGAGGUGUAAGUAUGGUAACAUAUUUAGCUGACUGAUACUAAUAGGUCGAGGGCUUGACCAAAUAA
This 102-nucleotide ribosomal RNA is filed under the name Clostridiales bacterium. RNAcentral's name for it is "partial 23S ribosomal RNA". It matches the Rfam family "Bacterial large subunit ribosomal RNA", at positions 2827 to 2925 of the family's 2925-position model. The record is from RNAcentral. Lineage: Bacteria; Bacillati; Bacillota; Clostridia; Eubacteriales.